CAGGAGAGGAUAUGAUUUUGAUUUAAGUCUUGAUAUGCUUUUCUCAGAAUCAAACUUCUCUUGACUCUUCUUUUACUCAUCAAGAUUAUGUUUUGUAUAAUUUUUUGAUAUAAUUCUUUGUUUGGUAAUCGAGAGACGCGUUUAUCGGUUUUGCAGCGGGCUAAGAGCUUCCGAUGUCUAGAAUGCGUUCAUAAAAUGGACAAGAGCACAGAGCCAAU
Molecule: long non-coding RNA, 218 nt
Filed under: Trifolium pratense (red clover)
Lineage: Eukaryota; Viridiplantae; Streptophyta; Magnoliopsida; Fabales; Fabaceae
Description: long non-coding RNA (TPRA_LNC011720)
Source: RNAcentral